RNAcentral lists this ribosomal RNA (465 nucleotides) under Vreelandella stevensii. Its description in RNAcentral is "partial 16S ribosomal RNA". It matches the Rfam family "Bacterial small subunit ribosomal RNA", at positions 338 to 795 of the family's 1533-position model. Lineage: Bacteria; Pseudomonadati; Pseudomonadota; Gammaproteobacteria; Oceanospirillales; Halomonadaceae. The record is from RNAcentral.
CCUACGGGGGGCUGCAGUGGGGAAUAUUGGACAAUGGGGGCAACCCUGAUCCAGCCAUGCCGCGUGUGUGAAGAAGGCCCUCGGGUUGUAAAGCACUUUCAGUGAGGAAGAACGCCUGGUGGUUAAUACCCAUCAGGAAAGACAUCACUCACAGAAGAAGCACCGGCUAACUCCGUGCCAGCAGCCGCGGUAAUACGGAGGGUGCGAGCGUUAAUCGGAAUUACUGGGCGUAAAGCGCGCGUAGGUGGCUUGAUAAGCCGGUUGUGAAAGCCCCGGGCUCAACCUGGGAACGGCAUCCGGAACUGUCAAGCUAGAGUGCAGGAGAGGAAGGUAGAAUUCCCGGUGUAGCGGUGAAAUGCGUAGAGAUGGGGAGGAAUACCAGUGGCGAAGGCGGCCUUCUGGACUGACACUGACACUGAGGUGCGAAAGCGUGGGUAGCAAACAGGAUUAGAUACCCCAGUAGUC